GAUGAACGCUGGCGGCGUGCCUAAUACAUGCAAGUCGAGCGAACAGACGAGGAGCUUGCUCCUCUGACGUUAGCGGCGGACGGGUGAGUAACACGUGAUAACCUACCUAUAAGACUGGGAUAACUUCGGGAAACCGGAGCUAAUACCGGAUAAUAUAUUGAACCGCAUGGUUCAAUAGUGAAAGACGGUUUUGCUGUCACUUAUAGAUGGAUCCGCGCCGCAUUAGCUAGUUGGUAAGGUAACGGCUUACCAAGGCAACGAUGCGUAGCCGAUCUGAGAGGGUGAUCGGCCACACUGGAACUGAGACACGGUCCAGACUCCUACGGGAGGCAGCAGUAGGGAAUCUUCCGCAAUGGGCGAAAGCCUGACGGAGCAACGCCGCGUGAGUGAUGAAGGUCUUCGGAUCGUAAAACUCUGUUAUUAGGGAAGAACAAAUGUGUAAGUAACUAUGCACGUCUUGACGGUACCUAAUCAGAAAGCCACGGCUAACUACGUG
This 496-nucleotide ribosomal RNA is filed under the name uncultured bacterium. Its description in RNAcentral is "partial 16S ribosomal RNA". It matches the Rfam family "Bacterial small subunit ribosomal RNA", at positions 28 to 507 of the family's 1533-position model. The record is from RNAcentral.